UACAGAGGGUGCAAGCGUUAAUCGGAGUGACUGGGCGUAAAGGGCGCGUAGGCGGUUAUGUAAGUGAGAUGUGAAAUCCCUGGGCUUAACCUAGGAAUUGCAUUUCAAACUGUGUAGCUAGAGUGCAGUAGAGGGUGGUGGAAUUUCCGGUGUAGCGGUGAAAUGCGUAGAGAUCGGAAGGAACAUCAGUGGCGAAGGCGGCCACCUGGACUGUAACUGACGCUGAGGCGCGAGAGCGUGGGGAGCAAACAGG
RNAcentral lists this ribosomal RNA (253 nucleotides) under uncultured bacterium. RNAcentral's name for it is "partial 16S ribosomal RNA". It matches the Rfam family "Bacterial small subunit ribosomal RNA", at positions 524 to 776 of the family's 1533-position model. The record is from RNAcentral.